Polyodon spathula (Mississippi paddlefish) is the source of this 1200-nucleotide long non-coding RNA. RefSeq lists it as uncharacterized. The record is from RefSeq and is a predicted model, not a curated record. The transcript is spliced from 3 exons. Lineage: Eukaryota; Metazoa; Chordata; Actinopteri; Acipenseriformes; Polyodontidae.
UUCUUACCUGAACCCACACCCACGUAUGCAAUAACAAUAAUGCAUGCUCUGUGUUCAUUGUAAACCCACCGGUGAAAGGAGGGGGUAGAGAAAUUCAAUUAAAACAUUGUUUUCACCGCUAAACAGACACCAAGUGCCAAUGUACAAGGAAGAAACCAUUUAUAAUCAGAUUUAACCCAGCUUUGAAGAAUGCAAGCCCCACCUUCAUAUCUGCAGCAUAACUCGCUGUUUAUUGUGUACCACAAACCCAGUCUAGUUUAUUGUUCAACUUUGACUUCAGUGCCGUAAAGUAUAAUACCAUUUCCAGCCACCAAGUGGUGCUAUGCAACAAGUAACAUCCAUAUAGAAAACAAAGUGACAUUUUAGCAAACAUUUUAAAAUACGUUUUGAAAGUCACAAUGUGCAUCGGAUUUAAUGCAUAAGGCUGCACGUUCUACAUUCUCUUUAUCAUUCCCCCACAAUUUUUAGCAACCAUAGUGGUGACGAGGUCUCUGAUGAUCACCUCCAGCAUUGUGAGUGUGGCUGCCUUCUUGUGCCUGCUUCUAGGAUUCAGACACUUCCAUUACUGUAGAGAUGCCAUGAUGAGAAGGCGGCUGCAGAGACUGGCUGCUGCAUUGUAUUUCCUAGUAGGAGUGUCUUCUACUGGUGCCAUAAUUAGAUACUGUGUGUAUGUUUACCAUAUUCACCAAUAUGAGGUCUCUCUAAAAAUCCCAGGCUUCCCCAGUUUUGAAUAUGGUUACUCAUUGUGGACAGCGGUUGGUGCAACAUUAGCAGCUCUCUUAUCUGCCAUUAUCUCAACCUAUGAAAGCUUCUGCAAGGAGAUAAAGAAUAAAGAAAGGACAAAGGAGAGUCCGUCUCAAACCAAGCAAUCCAUCAGCACAUAUGUUUAACACCCCCAGCCCCACUUCAACCAGUUGGAUGUGUUUCUUUAAGCCUGGAUAAGAACCCGUGAGAUCAUGUUUGUUGCUGUAUAAAUAGGUGUUGGGUUUGUUUUUCCAUAUAUAUUCAGUAUACUGUGGUGUUUGUCAAUCAAAUAAAAUGAUGAUAUAGUAUCUGUGUUACUCUAAAAGGGGAAAGUGAAACUGUAGCCGCAGGUAGCAAUAGAGCAAAGCGAUCUGUCUGUUUCUUAUAAAGACUACAAAGCGAUCGGUCUGCCUCUGUUAUAAAGACUGCAAAGCAAUCUGUCUGUCUGUCUCUUAU